Long non-coding RNA from Mytilus californianus (California mussel), 3277 nucleotides. RefSeq lists it as uncharacterized. The record is from RefSeq and is a predicted model, not a curated record. The transcript is spliced from 13 exons. NCBI's taxonomy places the organism in Eukaryota, Metazoa, Mollusca, Bivalvia, Mytilida, Mytilidae.
UAGUGGCAGAGGAAACUUACAGUGAUGUUUUUUUUAAUUGGAUUUCUCUAAAAAGCCCUUACAAAAGUUAUUUGCAUAGUUUUAUACCGUCGCCUACUGAAGUUAUCUACGGCUACAGAUACCCCAAACAAUGACAUAAAUGAAUUGAAGAAAUAUAAGAAAAGACUAGGAUAAGGCAUAAAAAGAUCGCGCGACAAUAAAUAGGAUUUGCCUUUUAAAGAGGCUGUACCGCUCCCACAGCUGUACAUGACUUUUAACUUAAUAUGAUUAACUUCACUAUGAUUAAUAGUAAUAAUGCGUAACCCAGGGAUCAUUAUUUGCUUUUCAAAAUGAAUUACUGAACCAAUCGUGAUUUGAACCUGUGACCCAUUGCACAGAAGAAAGUCGCUGCUCUACCAACUCAGCUAAACGAGUAAUCCACAAGCACAUGGUUAAGUAUUGACAAGAGGCAGACAACACUCCAGAUCAGGCUCCAGAUGAUAAUAAUAUUGUUUCAAUACCAUCCUCUUCUGUGCUGGAAACUCAGGUCUAUGAUUUGGAUGUUGGCAUCAUGAGAUCGCUGAUAUCCCAAUCAGCUGGACCACUGACUUCUCUAUCUAUAUAUAAAUGGUACAGAAGAAGAAUGUAUAGAAACUGGCCACCAUGAUCAAAUAGAGCCUCAGGAAACAGGGGAAGGGGACAAGGUAGUGCAGGAGACCGAUGAAGAACAAGGGGGAGUAAUAGUUCAAGAGACAGGACAGGAGAAAGGGCAAGAGCCGGAGGGGGAAACACACGUUAGAUAUGAAGAUCAUUCGAUACAGGUGAAAAGAGAAAGAAUACACUCAAUUUUCAUGGAAGAGAUUACAUUAGAAGAAAAAUGUUUAAAAGUGAGGUGUUUGAUUACGUUGUGGUUUGAUUUGUGGGGUUUGGCAGAAGUUAUUUGGGAUUACAUUCCUGUUUUUCCAGACACCCUGUCAAAUACUUGGAGGCCCAACACCUUAAUAGAUACCAACAAAAAGUGUAAAGACUUUAUACCACUUUCCAUAGGGGAACGUACAGCUUACCAGUCCACAGCAAAUGGAAAUUGCAUUUAUAAUGCAGUGUCCAUUAUCCUCUAUGGAAAUGAAGAUAUGGCUGUGGUACUGAAGCUGGCUUCAGUGCUGAAAAUGGUGGACGAUAUAGUACCAUUUUCAAAAUAUAAGAAUUUAAAGAGAAAACUAUCUGUGGGUUAAAUCUACCCUGCUGCAGGUAAAUGCAGCCUCAACAGCAGAGGAGGUAGAGUAUGGAUGCCGAAAAGAGCUGGUCUCGACUAUUCAACAUCCAUACAGGGAAGGAACUGUUUUCCAUCUACAUCUAUUGUCCCAUUUGAUGUCACGUCCAAUACAACAGCACUGCAAAAAAAUACCAGCAGUACCUGCAACUGAUCCUGCCACCGCUGACACCCCCAGCUAGACCAUCAUUUUCACACUUGGUUUGGGUGCCUGCCAAUCCAAGAAAUGCUUUUGCAUCUAUCAACCAUGUGGUUCCAGCUGUUUGCUCAUUGGGACCUUAUGGAAGCAGUAUUGAGGAUUGUGUGUUCCUUGGCCUUGGGUUGUGCUGUUUUAUGGUCAGCCACCACAAGGAUAUAACCCCAGGCUGGGUGGAAUGUACCCUUUGUGGACAGUGGGUUCAUGACACAUGCAUGGGUGUCACUGCAGCAGCCUUUAGCUUGCAGGAUGAUUUCCCAUGUGAAUGUGAUUGCCUGCAAAAUGGAGAGUUAAAACUGAAAAGCAUUGAAUACUACACAACUUUGCAGGUUAAAGACCUGGAUAUGGAUUUCAAUAUGAUAGUCGACAAAGUGGCACAAAUGCACAGCCUGAGAAAAGAGUUUUCCAGGGAAGCAAAUGGAAAACUCAAAUGGGCUUUGAGAAGUGGUCGGUUUGGUCCAUUUACAGACGAGUUUGUUGACACUGAAUACCAGUUUGAUCACAAAUGUUGGAGUAGAAAAGCUCCACCUUAUACCGGAUUUAUAUAUGCCUGAGGUUUGAUACAAGUUCUAUGUGAAAAAGAAGAAAUAAACAGGCUUGUGGAUGAACUGGUUCUUCUGAGACAUAAAUCAUGCUAACCACUGUAUAUCAUUGUUACUUCCAUUUUCAUUUUCAUUUUUUUUUUUUUUUAAACUUUUUUAUCUGUAGUAGAUAUUUGUAGCAAAACAUAUUGAUGAAAAACCUAUAUCUAAAGUGACGAUCCAUAUGUUUAAAUUUGUUUUAUGAUUUUUAAUCUCUAAUAUCUACUUUUUUAUUUAGAAAAUAUUUAUCCUUACCUGAAAAUGUCACUCAAAUUUUUCACACAAAACCUUUUUCGGAACCCAAUAAUUGAUAACAUAUAUAUGACUCAUUUUUGAUUCAGCCAUGCUGGAUCUAUGCGAUCACUCUGUUUUUGUAGAUGGUGAAGACUACUAAGUUGAGGACAUGAUAUUAAACUAAUUAUGUGUUUUUAUGACUUGCAGAAAUUUUCUGCACCAUUUUAAUCAUGAACUGUCCUUAAAUCAGGAAAAGAUUGGUCGAACAACCCUUUUAUUUUAGAUAUACACUUGCAUAUAGUUCCUUUGUAAAUCAAAAUUUAUAAUGAUUUACUAGUUAUGAAUUAAUUUGAAAAAGUAUUUGUACAUCAAUUGAAUCAGUUGAUAAGAAUUUUAAAAGUAUUAUGUUAGUAUCUUAUGCUUGUGUAAGUUGUUGUUCAAUGAAAUGUAGGUCAACAUCUGUAUUAAUAUAUAUCAGUUAAUUCCCACACUUUUUUUGAAAUGGUAUUACUCCAAUUCUUUCCAAAGGCAAGUAAGAGUCAGUAUGAUUAUCAACUGUCAUGAAUUUUAAAUAAUUACAAUCAAAGGUGUAAGUAUUAAAUGGAAACGACCCCAGCCUUAAUUCACCACAGUUAAUGUCUCAUGACCUGUUACAUAAUUAAAUAGACACAAUUUAUUACACACCGAACUGAAUACACACAUUCUCAAUAGUAAACCUAAAAAUGUAUUUAUUUAUUUUAAUCUACAAUAAAAUAUUCUGUUAGUUUAUGCUAGCUAGCUGAAUGAUUAAUCAGAUGUGGGUUUUUUUCAAAGAAAAGACAAAAAAUUCAAAAAAUAUGUAUCAAAAAUGCAAGCUAAUUUUAUUUCACUUGUAAAAUCAGAGUGUCAUUAUCAUCUGACAUAAGUCAAUAAUCAAGUUCAAAUUAAUUAGUUGCAAUUAUCAGAAAUUUGGUUGAAAUAAUAUACAAAAUUGCAUAACUCUUACUUGAGCAUUUUCUGCAAUAAAAUUUAUUUGUU